Molecule: long non-coding RNA, 3127 nt
Organism: Ooceraea biroi (clonal raider ant)
Lineage: Eukaryota; Metazoa; Arthropoda; Insecta; Hymenoptera; Formicidae
Source: RefSeq, a predicted model, not a curated record
AAACGAUCCAUUUAUCCACGUUAUUGAGAGUAUAAAUUAUUUAUUAACUGUACGUCGCACGUGAAUUAUAUAAAUAAUUAUCAAUUAUAUAUAUAAUUGAAUGUAUAAUUCACGUUGUUGAUUGCAAAUUAUACUCAAAUACGCGAACGAUCAUUAAUCACUACGCUGACUGUGAUCAAGGUUUAUGUAAUGUGAUCAGGUUCACACAGUCAAGCGAUGAAGAACAAGAAGAUCACGAUUGCUAUCUGGUCGUAAUGCAUGAUGAAGUGCCGUAAACGAUAAUUGCAUGAUAACAAUCGUUAAUUAGUCAAGAUAACGUCGCAUGAAAGUAAAGUGGCUAGCAAAUAAAUAACUAAAAUACAGCAGCAGAAAUGCAUCUGUCAGCGAUAGAUUACGAGUAGAACGCAUUUCGAUGGCUGGCGCGAGCGGAUGAUCAUCUUCGCGCGAAUGAUUUGCGAGACGCGGACGAAGAAGAUGCAGUGUCGCGAUUGCCUUAAGCUUCCCGAUGGUAAAUCACUCAUCAGGACGGGCGUUAUCGCAGCACAAUUUGUUAUAGUCAAUAUGAAAGGUAAUAAGAAUGUCCGAUGAAUGUCUUAGAGGAAAAUCCGGGACGCGUUUUCGAACUUUCAAACGCGCCGUAUGAAUCGUGUCGCUGUCAGACGCGGGACGCGAUUUUAUACUUUCACUUUGACGCGCUUUUAAUUACGCGUAAUUUGUCGCCGUGGCGUUUAACGUCGCGGUAAAGCGACGUGAUUUUUCGCACUCGAUAAUCGGGUAUUAUCGUCUCGCGGCGCAUCAUUAAAUGCGGAUUAAACAAUCGAGUUUUGCCGCGCGCCGUGCGCGAAAAUCACUCGCUGUCAGAAGAGCGAAUCUAAAAGUUUGUAACACGGUCUCAUGUAGCGUCAUAUCUAAAUAAAUUCUAUACGUACAAAGUGUGGAAGAAAUCUCGCUGACUUUUACCCCUCACAUUUUCUAUUUAAUUUUCUUUCUGAUCAUAUUUCUUCCCAAUUAUAGCUUCAACUGGACAUCUUUUAAAAGCUCAACUGUUUUCAGAUAUUUUGGAGAUCUAACGUUUCGGAAAUUACGGUAGACGAUCACGCUGACAUCCCUUUAACGGAAGUUCGAUCUUAAAUCGUCCUAAAGAUAUAUCGUUGAACGUGAAGUCGGCGGCGAUGAGACGUUCCGGAUCAGAUUGCUCUUUAAGCAGCAACUAGGCAGCCAUACGUCAUACGUAUUAUAUUAUACAAUUGAACCGUAAUUGUAUCAUCCCACGAAGUACGACUUCUCUCUUUCCCCCUUCACGGUCGAUUCUAGGUCAGUGUGACGAAGUCGCCGCAGUCGUGGAUCUCGCAUGCAUGUUUCACGAGGUCCGGCGUUCGCGUCGAUACGACGUAUCGGGCAGCUCCGACUUCUCGAAACACCUAUAGAUAGAACUCACGCUCUCAACUUGUCGCGUAUUCGCGGAAUAGCUGCUAUAUUUGCGACGAGAGAUGACAUCGUUUCGCGCGCGCCCCAGAAGAUGCCGGCAGGCCUUUUUUUAGAUCGUCGAUGCACAGUUUCGGCGAACGAAGGCGAUUACAGACCUUCUUCUUUACAAUGCGCCAGUAGCAAUAAUGCUAUUUAUAGCGACGCAAUGUACAGACAACUCAUUCGAGUUGUUGCGAAUGUAAAUUGCACUCUGAAUGCGGAAUAAUUCUGCGGAUCUUCUGCGUCCUCUGGUGAAUCUCCGAUUUCUGUACUGUGAAAAUUUGAUGACAUUUAUAAUAAUUGAAUUUUCCUCGACUGGAUUUCCCCGGAGACGGACAAGAACCAACAGGAAUUACGUAAUUAAGAUUGCGAUGAGAUUGCACGAGGACACGAUCGCGAUCACGUGCGGUUAUCCGAUUCUGCGUGUAUUCUGAGUUACGUCGUGAUUGAACAUACGUGUAGUGACAUUUUUACGGAAUUUCGUAAAUUCCCUCAUUUGCUUGUUUAUUAGGAAACUGCAUUUCGCGGAGAGAUUAACGACCUGACAUUUCGAUGCGUCCGACAUCCGAGGUACCGAGUCAUUACAGCAAACCGCAUGCGAUGGACACCAUAAAAAAAGCUAAAUGUUGCCGCACGAUUCUGUUACUAAUUUUUUUGUUAGUCGACGUGACAAUAUUACCCAAAGAAAAGACUGAUUUCUCUCGGAACAUUAAUAUUUAUCUAUACGACAUCCUUAAAUCUUUAAAUUCUUAUUAGAUCAUUGACGUUACAAAUUACAAUCCAUACACGCGUCCAUCGGAAAUUUAAAAAAAUUCUCUUUCUGCUUAGGACUCGCAAUGCGACAUUAGCAGAACUAUUCCAUUCCUCAGUUUGAAUGCGCAUCUUCUACAGUGCGGAAUUUGGAGUUACGCAAAUUUGCGAAGCGUACAACGGAGAUGCGUGCCUAACGGAGUGAUACCGCGAGAGGGAUGCUGUGAGAGGGAGAGAGGACUGCUACAUUCAGCCGACGUGGACAGGACUUGUUCGACCGGCGCCAAUCCGGUGUCUUUGACGUGCGGAUAACCGAGCACGACGAUUCUGCCGGGUAAGACCGGGUAUGUUUCGACAACGCGUUGCGCCACAAACGCGCACGUGCAAUGCUGCGCAACGUGCAUGCACAGAAGGAUGCGCACGCGGAGGAGCGACGCGGAUUCGUCUUCAGCGCGGAUGCACGAGACCAUUGCACGUGAAACAGCAUUUCUUUCGAUGCAUCUGUAAUUGCGGGGUACUCGAAAGGGGAAGAAACUCGCUAAUUAUCCACUUUCCAAAAGUUGCAUUAAGUUGCAACUUGAGGAUUCGUCGACUUGUUCAACACUGGCCUCUCCUUACCUCAGCUCGACAAAUUAUAAUAACAACUUAAUAUGCCCAAAGAACACAUACACACAUGUUCAUAGAGGAAACGCAAAUUACUGCGUUUUUACGGAAGAAAUUAAUACAUCGAGACCACUAAAAUAAAUACUUAAAUAACAAACGCGCGUAAUCAGAUGCAUAUAAAACUGCACAUAAAUAUAAUCUGGCACGUAAUUAAAGACGUAAUUAAAGUAUGAAUUAAUCAUUGUGAUAAACGGCUGCUUGUAGUAAUAGAGACUCAUUUCGAAAUAAAGUGGCUUCUGUCAGCUCC